GUAGAUUUCCCCAUACAGUAGGUCCUUGUUACUUACCUAUUUUAUGUAUAGUAGUAUGUAUAUGUUAAUCCCAACCUCCUAAUUUAUCUCCCCCACCCCUAACCCCACUCCCAGCACACAUUUCCCCUUUGGUGACCAUAAGUUUGAUUUUGAAAUCUUUGAGUCUUUUUCUAUUUUCUAAGUUCUUUUGUAUCCUUUUUCUUUUUUUUUAAAAUUAGAUUCCGUAUAUUAGUGAUCUUACGAUAUUUGUCUUUCUCUGGUCAGACCUACUUCCUUUAGUAUGAUAAUUUCUAGGUCCAUCUGUGUUGCUGUAAAUAGCAUUGGUUUGUUCUUUUUUUUGUGGCUGAGUAAUAUUCCAUUGUAUAUUUGUACCACAUCUUUAUCCAUUCUUCUGUUGAUGGACAUUUAGGUUGUUUGCAUGUCUCGGCUAUUAAGACACUGUUUUUCAAAGUUACUCAAGUUAGCUUUCUUUUCUCUUACCCCUUUCGGGGUGACUAUGUCAUAUUUGUAAUAAAGUUAGAUUUAUUUGUUGGAGUUUGCAUUCCAUCCUGAGAUCCUCAGUCAUAUGGGUAGAUAUUUUAAGCUUGAAUAUAUUACAUAUAUUCUCUGAUACGGUUUUAUGGGUUUUGACAAAUUCAUAGAAUCAUUUAUCCUUCACCCCAGUACUGUACAAGAUGAUUCUUUCACCCUAAAUUUCCCCUGUUUCUUAGAUCUCCUGAAUCAAAAUUUUCGUUUUAACAAGAUUCCCAAGGAGACAUGUAGGCAUAUUCAGUUUAUAUGCAUGUAUAUGAAGCUAUUCACGUGGAAUCAUUCACUAUCUUUCCCUGUUUUGAAAUUAUAAGUUAAGUUGAAAAAAGAUGAUUUUUAUAAUGGGAUAGCCAAGUUUAAAUGUAUAAUCAGGUAAGCGUAUAUACUCAAAUUCAUGGGUUUGCAUACAGUGAGGGGAAAGAAAAUGGAGUUGGGCAGAUUACUGGAGUGAAGUAAUGGCCUAUAUGGGAAGUUUCAUGGAGCUCUUAAACCUUUGUAAUCUUAACACUGAUGAGAAAUAAUGUGAUUUGGAAAGAAAAGAACAAAUGGUUUAUUCAGAAAGAUGAUGGAGAGAAAGAUUUUUACAGAGAUUAUAUAGUCCCCCAGUAAAGAAGUGCAAGUUCCCUAUUACAAAGAAUGUGUUGGACAUCUUAGCUUUGUAGUUUUUUACGCUGAGGUUUAUUUAGUGUAAUACUGACGGUUUUGUAUGGUUUAGUCCCAGGUGGAGGAAAGAGGAAAAAAAAAAAAAAGGAAACAUAGCUUAAUAAACAUUACAUGUAUUAGAUUCCCAUGGGGGGGUGUGUAUUACCCAUGUGAAUGAACUGGUCAGAACUCUUACUAAUUUCAGAGGGAGACUGUACAAAUCUCUUGUACCAGCGUGAUGACUGAGCUAAUUGUUGUUUAUAAUUAGGAGUAUAUUAUCUAUCACUGUGAUAUGAAAUGACUGCUUAGAAGUCAAUUUUAAAUAAAUGUUAAACUGAAUUAGCAAUUUUUUUUGGUGUGGAUAUCUCAGUUACUGAGAUUAAAAUACAAACACAUGCAAAGUCCUGGCUAAAUACUACUGGCUUCUGGGAUCUACUGUCUAUGGAGCUAAAGCAUAAGGCAGAAAAAUAGUGGGGAGCUCUUUUCUUAAUGAAAACCAUUCCCAUUAGCUAUGUCACAUCUCUCCUGUUACUGCUUCUGUUUAUUUUUUUGUUUAAACAAUUUUUGAGGGUGUGGCAUGUGGUGGUUUGGUGUGGGAUCUCAGUUCCCAGGCUACGGAUUGAACCCAGGCCAGAGUGGGGAAAGCACCAAGUCUUAACCACUGGACCACCAGGGAACUCUAUUCUGUUACUCGUUGUAGAAAUAUAAUUCUUUGUCUUAAAAAAACUUAGAUGAUUGAGCAACUACAGUGUGGUGGAUAUUAUUAGAUGCUAAAAUUUUGAGAUUCUUCUCUAAAGCUUAUAAGCAAGAAAAAAAUACUAAUGGGUAAAAAAACCAUUAUUUUGCCUAUUAGUUAUAAUUAUAAAUUAUAAAUUAGAGGUUCCCAGGCUAGGGGGUCGAAUCAGAGCUGUAGCCACUGGCCUAUGCCAUAGCCACAGCAAUGUCAGGUCCAAGCUGUGUCUGUGACCUACACCACAGCUCAUGGCAAUGGAUCCUCAACCCACUGAGUGGGGCCAGGGAUCAUCCUCAUGGAUGCUAGUCAGAUUUGUUUCCACGGAGCCACGACAGGAACUCCAAGGGAUAUUAUUUUAAAAUAAAUCACUAAUAUCAUCCUAGGAAAUUAGUGGCUUUGAUUUUUAUGAAUUUUCUUUCAAUUCUUUGUAAUAUUAGUAUUUGUUUUUUUAGCUUUCUCUGAGCUUCAGUUUGUUUAUUGCUUUAUUAUAUGAAGAUGGAAGAAUUAAAUGAGUACCCAGUGUUUGGCACAUAGCACCAGUUAGUAAUCCCCAUGUCUUCCUUUUCUUAUUAAACAGUUUGUAUUGAAAAUGUUAGUAUUCCUACAGGUUCUGUUCAUACACAUUUUAUAUACUUAUGACAGUCCCAAGAACACCUGAAGCAAACAUUGGAGUAAUGCUUCUUCUUUUUCCUGUCUUUUUAGGGCUGUACCCAUGGCAUAUGGAGGUUCCCAGGCUAGGGGUCGAAUCAGAGCUGUAGCUGCCGUCCUGCGCCAUAGCCACAGCAACUCAAGAUCUGAGCCGAGUCUGCAACGUACACCACAGCUCGCAACAACUCCAGAUCCUUAACCCACUGAGCGAGGCCAGGGAUUGAACUCACAUCCUCAUGGAUACUAGUUGGGUUUGUUAAUCACUGAGCCACAACAGGAACUCCCUGAAGUAAAGAUUCUGAUCUUAAACUUGGGAGGGGGGGACAAUUCAAUUUUUUUCAUUCCAAUAGCAAUUUAUAUUGAGUUUCUAGUAUAUGUUAGGUAAUAUGCUUUAUGUCUUUUUAAAUCUUCACAGUAAUCCUUAAAUGUGUUUAUUAUUUCCACGAGGUAGAAACCUGAGUCUUAUUUAAUGGGUGUACAUGUAUAAAUAUAAUGGAAUGAAAGGGCUAGGAGGCUAGGAGCAAAUACGACAGGAUUAAUUUCAGAAACUCACAAAUGUCUGUCAAAAAUUCUUCCCAAAACUCCCUCAAAGAAGUCCUUUUGAGAGCAUUGACAAUUAAGCAUUAGUUGAUGGGGAAGAGAGCAAGGCAUAAAGUGAGAAUUUAGUGCAGUAUGCUUGUUCUUUAGAAUAGUAAAUACAGUUCUUUGUGUAUUUAUUAUUGUACUUGUCAUGCAUACUGUCCUCUUAUAGUUUAUGUUUAAAAUCAGUUUGCCUUCUAUCAGUGAAUCCUAUAACAUCUCUCCCCCCCCCCCAGUCUAAUUCAUCUAAAUUCUACCAGUUUGGGGAGGAAAAUAGAAUAAAAGUAGGGAAAUAGAAUAUAUUAGAAAGAAAAUCUUUAUAUACUUGGAGGGAAAGAAGUAAGUAAAUGGAUAUGUUAUUUAAUGGAAUUAAUAUGAAAUCCUUGAUCUAAGCCUUUGAUACAGGUAGUCUAAUUUACAUAUGAUGUUGAAGUGCACAUAGUCUUUAUUUUCUCUUCACUAGUGUUCCUGUUUUGAGAUGUCCUUUUCAUUUCUCCUCAGUACUUCUGCAGCCAGUUAAAUAUUACCUUUUUUUUUUUUUUUUUUUUUUUCUAUUUCUGAUUGUGCCUGUAGCAUGGGGGAGUUCCUGAAUCAGGGAUGGAACCCGUGCCACAGCAGCAACCCGAGCAGCAGCAGUGAUAAUGCCAGAUCCUCACCUGCUGUGCUGCAAGGGAACUCUGGUAUUACUUUCUUAGACUUUUUUAUCUAUUCCAAGAUUUAUCAACAACAGAAGGCUGUUGGUCAUGAUUUUUAAAAAGUAUGUUUUCCCCUGUAAUAGAGAAGAAUCUUUGUUUAUUCACUUGAGAAUACAUCAUUCUCAUGUACCUGACAUAGGCAUUAGUGUUUUCUUUAGUUCGAAGGACUGGUUAAAGUGGAGAAUUGAGUACAGAGAAAGGAGAUGUUGCUGGGCUAAGGUAGCAUAGACUCUCACUCGAAGCACUUCCUACCCCUACACAUGAGAAUGCUAGAUAAUAUAGAGCAAAGGGAAUAAAAGGUAGAUGGACAGCUGAACUUUAGAGAAAACUUCCAUGUGCCAGGAACAGAAGGGAACUUGAAGUCAGAGCAGUAAUAAACAGUAAGCUCUGAGCAAACAUGGUAAUACAAAGGAUGUUUGGAAGGCCAUCCCAACAGGCUGCUGGGGUUGGGAUUGGAAUUUAUUAUAUGACUACAGAAUUAAGUCCCCUUAAAGCUGGAACCUUAGAAGGGUUGCCUUCUCAGAAAAUGGUCUGUAAAAACUUCCUGUGUGUGCUUUCAAGGAUUUUGUUGUUGGUUGUUGUUGUUAAGAGGGUAAAAUGGAGUUUAGUAUCAAAAUAUUUUGAAAGCUAAAAAUUUUGUCUUAAUUGGAGUAUAAAUGAAAAAGUGGCCAUAGGGGCCAAACAGUUAACAUAAAUGAAUGAAACUGUCUAAGUAUAAGACUUAUUUAGAGGAGGGAACUGAUGAACUAGAGAUCAUAUCCUUCACAAAAAGAAACUAGUGCUACUUAGAUAUGGACAUUUGUGACUGUGUGGAAAAUGGCCUAGUGUUUUUAAAAUUAUUCCUCCCAAAACAAUUUUAAAUUAGAUGACUUGGAAGAAAAAUCCAAAAGAAGUAGAGAUAGUGGAGUUCCCGUUAUGGCUCAGUGGUUAACAAAUCCUACCGGUAUCUGUGAGGACGAGGGUUCCAUCCAUGGCCUGCGCAGUAGGUUAAAGAUCCAGCAUUGCCACAGGAUCACUGCUGUGGCACAGUUUUGAUCCCUGGCUUAGAACUUUUGUGUGCCAUGGCACAGCCAAAAAACCACAAACGAAAACAAACAAAAUCACUCCAACGCUUAUACUAGCUCAUGUUAAGCAUGCGCUAAGUGCCAGAUACUGAGCUAGGUGUCUGUUGUAAUCUGGGGGAGGAGGUCUAGAACUAGGGAAGAGGGUGGGAUAAUGAUUAACAUGUUUUCCAGGGAAGGCAAACUGCUUUAUACCAAGGCUUUGAGUAAGAAAACAUGGCAAAUUCAAGGGCUAAAGGAAGUCACUGAGGCUAGGGUCAGAAGAGAGAGGAGGGUGGUUUUAAGAUAAAUUGGAGAGGUAGGCAGAGAUCAGAUUUUGGGUCAUUUUAUCCCAAGAAAAAAGGUAAGCCAUUAAACUGCUCAAAGUGCCGGCUUUCCAGAAUAUAGCAGAUGAGGGUGUAUAGUCGAAAAGUUGGAGAGGGAUGGUCAUUUUGAUGUAGGUUAGAGUUUGCAAAGCAUUUCUUUAUGCUAAUCAUAGAUACAGAAUCAUACAUUUAAGUUAUUUGGAAUUCAUGGGGAAAUAAACCAUUGAUGAUAGUUGCACUAAAGCUUCUAAAAACUUAACCUGAAAAAAAGUUUAAAAAUGGAUUUAGGAGUUCCCGUCGUGGCGCAGAGGUUAACAAAUCCAACUAGGAACCGUGAGGUUGCGGGUUUGAUCCCUGCCCUUCCUCAGUGGGUUAAGGAUCCGGCAUUGCCGUGAGCUGUGGUGUAGGUUGCAGAUGCGGCUUGGAUCCCGACUUGGAUCCCGCGUUGCUGUGGCUCUGGUGUAGGUUGGUGGCUACAGCUCCAAUUAGACCCCUAGCCUGGGAAUUUCCAUAUGCCGCCGAAGUGGCGCUCGAAAAAGGCAAAAAGACAAAAAAAAAAAAAAAA
RNAcentral lists this long non-coding RNA (5756 nucleotides) under Sus scrofa (pig). RNAcentral describes it as "lncRNA (ENSSSCG00065023898.1)". The record is from RNAcentral. Lineage: Eukaryota; Metazoa; Chordata; Mammalia; Artiodactyla; Suidae.